This is a long non-coding RNA of Lathyrus oleraceus (garden pea), 1012 nucleotides long. RefSeq lists it as uncharacterized. NCBI's taxonomy places the organism in Eukaryota, Viridiplantae, Streptophyta, Magnoliopsida, Fabales, Fabaceae. The record is from RefSeq and is a predicted model, not a curated record. The transcript is spliced from 3 exons.
CACAACAACUUAAUUGUAACCUGCAGUGUGGACAGAAUUUAGUCAUCAAACGAAAUGAACUUCACUUGAAAAUCCACAUAGAAAACAAGAAAUACAUACUGACACAUUAGAAUGUCACCUAAUAAUUGCUAACUUCAUCUAAUAAUCUAAGUCCACAACCAUUUUCCAGCUUUGGUUUAUUAGUUUACUGUCAUGAUAACAGCAGCAGCAGAACACGUCGAACUCAAGCUUUAACUGAAAGUUGAUUUAACUGCACAAAUCCCAACAGAAAUAACUAACUCACAACUAAUCUAACAGAAUUCGGUUAACACAAAAUCUCCUCUCACUAACCUCAAACCAAAUUUGGAUUAACAUCAUGGAGAUCCCUCAAUAAUCAACGUGGAUUGCGUUCGACACUCAAUUCUAACCCUCACUAUGUGUGUACAGAAAGAAAUCAAAAUUCAGAGAACUUACCUGAUUUGACGCUUCAAACAGCUAUCGCGUUGCGAUUUUGGCGCGUGUCGUCGCAGCUAUGCCGCGUGAAUGCAAAGAGAGGGGGUUGCGUGUGGUUUAAGCUCCGCCAAUUGAAGCUUCAACGAGGAGCUUCAAUGGCAUCUUGUUGGAAGAGCUCUGGUGAGGGAGGAAGGUGAGGAUGCGGUUCUGCAGUGCGAGCUGUGUGAAAAUUGGAUAUUGGUGAUUGAAAAACCCCAAUGAUUGGAGAAGGUUAUGAAUAUAUAGUGAUGAAUCUGCAACUGAUUAGGGCAGGAUAUGAAUUUGCAGGUUGAAGUUGUGAUGAUUUUCACUGCCGUGGGGUUUUUUUUGGAAAUAUUCUGUGAAUAGAGGAAGGGUAAUAAUAAAAAUGCUGAAAUGAAAUUCACACCUUGCCGUUAGUGGGUUUUGUAAUUUGAAAAUGAAAUCCAAUUGAAAUGUGAGUAAAAUGUAUUAUGUUUAUGAGCUCUGUCAAUUUUCUGUUAUGCCGUGAGCCAAAUUGUAUUUGCUAUUAUUAUGCUGCCCUGCUACACAAAAUAAAUUA